RNAcentral lists this ribosomal RNA (468 nucleotides) under uncultured bacterium. Its description in RNAcentral is "partial 16S ribosomal RNA". It matches the Rfam family "Bacterial small subunit ribosomal RNA", at positions 28 to 507 of the family's 1533-position model. The record is from RNAcentral.
GACGAACGCUGGCGGCGUGCUUAACACAUGCAAGUCGAACGGACAGGCCCUGCUUUUGUGGGGUGCUCGAGUGGCGAACGGGUGAGUAACACGUGAGUAACCUGCCCUUGUCUUUCGGAUAACUUCAGGAAACUGGGGCUCAUAUCGGAUAGGAGCUCCUGCUGCACGGUGGGGGUUGGAAAGUUACGGCGGUUGGGGAUGGAUUCGCGGCUUAUCAGCUUGUUGGUGAGGUAGUGGCUUACCAAGGCUUUGACGGGUAGCCGGCCUGGGAGGGUGACCGGCCACAUUGGGACUGAGGGACGGACCAGACUCCUACGGGAGGCAGCAGUGGGGAAUAUUGCACAAUGGGCGGAAGCCUGAUGCAGCAACGCCGCGUGCGGGAUGACGGCCUUCGGGUUGUAAACCGCUUUCGCCUGUGACGAAGCGUGAGUGACGGUAAUGGGUAAAGAAGCACCGGCUAACUACGUG